GUGGGGAAUAUUGGACAAUGGGCGAAAGCCUGAUCCAGCAAUGCCGCGUGAGUGAUGAAGGCCUUAGGGUUGUAAAGCUCUUUUACCAGGGAUGAUAAUGACAGUACCUGGAGAAUAAGCUCCGGCUAACUCCGUGCCAGCAGCCGCGGUAAUACGGAGGGAGCUAGCGUUGUUCGGAAAUACUGGGCGUAAAGCGAACGUAGGCGGCAUAGCAAGUCAGGGGUGAAAUCCCGGGGCUCAACCCCGGAACUGCCCUUGAAACUGCUAAGCUAGAAUCCUGGAGAGGCGAGUGGAAUUCCGAGUGUAGAGGUGAAAUUCGUAGAUAUUCGGAAGAACACCAGUGGCGAAGGCGACUCGCUGGACAGGUAUUGACGCUGAGGUUCGAAAGCGUGGGGAGCAAACAGGAUUAGAAACCCUUGUAGUCC
RNAcentral lists this ribosomal RNA (425 nucleotides) under uncultured bacterium. RNAcentral describes it as "bacterial SSU rRNA". It matches the Rfam family "Bacterial small subunit ribosomal RNA", at positions 354 to 796 of the family's 1533-position model. The record is from RNAcentral.